This 256-nucleotide long non-coding RNA is filed under the name Glycine max (soybean). Its description in RNAcentral is "long non-coding RNA (GMAX_LNC004539)". The record is from RNAcentral. Lineage: Eukaryota; Viridiplantae; Streptophyta; Magnoliopsida; Fabales; Fabaceae.
UUUGGUUCUGAUCUUAGGAGAAAUUUGCCCGUAGACCUAGCAGAAGGAGUUCUUCGAGCACUCUGUCUACAAGCAUUAGGACAGGUGUCGCAACCUACCCUUCGGCGGGAAGGCGAAGCGAGGCUCAGGGGUGCAUCUUCCAAGAAAGGAAAAUGCGCGAAGUUGCCACCAACGUUUAUUCGAGGAAAACGUCGGAAAAACGGAAAAGACAUGGUCUACGAACUUUAAGUGUGAAAGGUUCGGGAGUUGUUUUUAC